UACAGAGACUGCAAGCGUUAUUCGGAUUCACUGGGCGUAAAGGGUGCGCAGGCGGCCAAGUGUGUUAGGCGUGAAAGCCUGAGGCUUAACCUCAGAAUUGCACCUAAAACUACAUGGCUAGAGCAUUGGAGAGGGUAGCGGAAUUCACGGUGUAGCAGUGAAAUGCGUAGAUAUCGUGAGGAACACCAGAGGCGAAGGCGGCAUCCUGGCCCUGACCUGACGCUGAGGCGCGAGAGCGUGGGGAGCAAACUGG
RNAcentral lists this ribosomal RNA (253 nucleotides) under uncultured bacterium. Its description in RNAcentral is "partial 16S ribosomal RNA". It matches the Rfam family "Bacterial small subunit ribosomal RNA", at positions 524 to 776 of the family's 1533-position model. The record is from RNAcentral.